This 254-nucleotide ribosomal RNA is filed under the name uncultured bacterium. Its description in RNAcentral is "partial 16S ribosomal RNA". It matches the Rfam family "Bacterial small subunit ribosomal RNA", at positions 524 to 776 of the family's 1533-position model. The record is from RNAcentral.
CACGUAGGGGGCGAGCGUUGUCCGGAUUUAUUGGGCGUAAAGAGCUCGUAGGCGGCUCGGUAAGUCAGGUGUGAAAACUCUAGGCUCAACCUAGAGACGCCACCUGAUACUGCUGUGGCUAGAGUCCGGUAGGGGAGCAUGGAAUUCCUGGUGUAGCGGUGAAAUGCGCAGAUAUCAGGAGGAACACCAGUGGCGAAGGCGGUGCUCUGGGCCGGAACUGACGCUGAGGAGCGAAAGCGUGGGGAGCAAACAAG